This 411-nucleotide RNase P RNA is filed under the name bacterium. RNAcentral describes it as "RNase P RNA component class A". It matches the Rfam family "Bacterial RNase P class A". From Rfam's summary of the family: Ribonuclease P (RNase P) is a ubiquitous endoribonuclease, found in archaea, bacteria and eukarya as well as chloroplasts and mitochondria. The record is from RNAcentral.
CCUUUGUGUUGGGUAGUUGCGCCAAUUUUGUCUACUUUAAUUAGUUGCAGUAUUGGUGAGGAAAGUCCGAACAUCGCCCCGAUUUAACAUCGGGGAGACAAGUAGCGGGUAACACCCGCCUAGAGCAAUCUACGAGGUGCGAACAGAGACGCCAAUAAGGGAAACUUUGCUGGGCGCUCCCAAAAGGAGCGUAGUCGAUCAUAUAGCUUGCUAUAUGCUCGGGUGCAACGGCUAAACCCUUACUUCGAUGCAAGGCCGUGCCCGCCAAAAUUUUGCGAAAGCAAAACUUAGGCGGGAGUGCCGCUAGAGCCCCGCAGUAAUGCUAGGCCCAGAUAAAUAACUGCCGCCAAUUUUAUUCACCUUUGGUGAACAAAAUUGGCACAGAAUUCGGCUUAUAGACACAGAGCAUAU